CCUACGGGUGGCAGCAGUGAGGAAUAUUGGUCAAUGGGCGAGAGCCUGAACCAGCCAAGUCGCGUGAGGGAAGACGGUCCUAUGGAUUGUAAACCUCUUUUGUCGGGGAGCAAAACGGCCUCUUGAGGCCCCCCGUGAUAGUCCCCGCAGACAAAGCAUCGGCUAACUCCGUGCCAGCAGCCGCGGUAAUCCGGAGGAUGCGAGCGUUCUCCGGAGUUAUUGGGUUUAAAGGGUGCGUAGGCGGACUGGAAAGUCAGCGGUAAAAUCGAGGGGCUCAACCUCUUUCCGCCGUUGAAACUGGCGGGCUUGAGUGGGCGAGAGGUAGGCGGAAUGCGUGGUGUAGCGGUGAAAUGCAUAGAUAUCACGCAGAACUCCGAUUGCGAAGGCAGCACACCGGAGCACGACUGACGCUGAGGCACGAAAGCGUGGGUAUCGAACAGGAUUAGAUACCCGUGUAGUC
RNAcentral lists this ribosomal RNA (460 nucleotides) under uncultured bacterium. RNAcentral describes it as "partial 16S ribosomal RNA". It matches the Rfam family "Bacterial small subunit ribosomal RNA", at positions 338 to 795 of the family's 1533-position model. The record is from RNAcentral.